CGCUGGCAGCAUGCAUAACACAUGCAAGUCGAACGGAACUUCCUUGAGAUUAUAUCAAUGGGAAGUUUAGUGGCAGACGAGUGAGUAACACGUAAGGAAUCUGCCCUCGAGAAGGGAUAACGGGCUGAAAGGUCCGCUAAUACCCUGUACGAUAUCAAGGUGGCAUCAUCUUGAUAUGAAAGGCCCGCAAGGGUCGCUCGAGGAUGAUCUUGCGUCCUAUCAGCUAGUUGGUGAGGUAACGGCCCACCAAGGCUAUGACGGGUACCCGCCCUGAAAGGGGAACGGGCACGGAGGCACUGAGACACGGGCCUCACUCCUACGGGAGGCAGCAGUGGGGAAUUUUGGACAAUGGGGGAAACCCUGAUCCAGCAAUGCUGCGUGAAGGAUGAAGGUCUUCGGAUCGUAAACUUCUUUUCUGGGGGACGAAUGUCCGCAAGGACUUGACGGUACUCCAGGAAUAAGCCACGGCUAAAUAUGUG
RNAcentral lists this ribosomal RNA (479 nucleotides) under uncultured bacterium. RNAcentral describes it as "bacterial SSU rRNA". It matches the Rfam family "Bacterial small subunit ribosomal RNA", at positions 34 to 507 of the family's 1533-position model. The record is from RNAcentral.